UACACACCUAAUCUAAUUUUGAUGCGAAACCAAACACAAGCCUUUCUGAACCUAAAAUCAAUACUAACUCAAAAUUUUGAUCAAUUACGUCCACAUUUGGCUCUCAAGAACACGUUAGAACACUUAUCGAAUCGAAACAAUAAUUAAAUGAUGUCACACAAAUCAAUUUCCUAAACAUUUCCUUCGCAAAUAAAAUAAUUAAGCAACCCUGAAUAGCAUAACAACCAAACAAAACUUAUAUCUUUACCCAAAUCACGAAUACGCACAAGAUCGAAACUGCGAGGAAAGAAUCGAUAAUAACGAAAAUUAUAAGUAGCAUUGUUUUAGUACGUAGGAUAAAAAGAACAUAAUUGAAAUCAACAGAGCAAAAAGGAAGAAAAACAGAAAGAAAAAACGACAGAAAGUGGGAUGGGGAAAACGUGAGAAACGUGAGAGAGGAAAGGGUAUUUUUUUGGAAAAAAAUAAUAAUCAAAUAAUAAUCAGAUAUUUUUUUUAAAAAUACAACACAAUCCCAAAAAAACCUAUCCAACCCAAUAUUCAGAUAUCCUAUCAGACUACCCAAAGAUAGAAUUCAAUUUAACCACAACCACUACAUGGGUGGUUCAACAAAAAUAGCAAAAAUUUUGCUACUUUGCUCACGCAGAUAUUCGAACACAUGGCCAUAGGGUAAGCUAACACCUUAUCACUGAACUAACAGACUCAUUCUAUCAUAAGUUAAACGAAAAUAAUAUGUAAGCCAAAUAAACAGGGAUAGGGCUAGAACCAAGGCGGUAACUAAUAGGUUCUCUCCCCAUUUUCCUUCCUAUCUCCAUCUAACCCCUUAAGGUUUUUCCCACAAUCAUGCUUCAUGCUUAUGCAACCAUGGCAUACUUAGACAGUAUAGAACAUAAUAGCAGGUUUGGAGUCUGGAACUCACCUGAAUCCUUAUCGUUCCCUUAGCUUAUUCCUUUUUUCGAACACUAGAGCUUCCAUUCUCCAGAUAGUAGUCGCUUGCUAGUUUCCCUACUUUUCAGGUCCAUCUUCAUAAAGUCUACUUCAUGCAGAACCUUCCAUGGCUACUCUUCUUCGAGCCACUGAAGAAAAUGAAGAACGAGAGAAAAUAAAUCAAAAUCGGGAAGAAAAUCAUCCCUGGGAGCCAUCUCCCAGCUAUUUUAGCUCUUCUCGCGCUAUCACUAACCUUAGGAGAACCGUCCAUUGUUAU
RNAcentral lists this long non-coding RNA (1201 nucleotides) under Gossypium barbadense (sea-island cotton). RNAcentral's name for it is "long non-coding RNA (GBAR_LNC016714)". The record is from RNAcentral. Lineage: Eukaryota; Viridiplantae; Streptophyta; Magnoliopsida; Malvales; Malvaceae.